RNAcentral lists this ribosomal RNA (712 nucleotides) under uncultured bacterium. RNAcentral describes it as "bacterial SSU rRNA". It matches the Rfam family "Bacterial small subunit ribosomal RNA", at positions 154 to 882 of the family's 1533-position model. The record is from RNAcentral.
GAACGACUGCUAAUACCGCAUAAGCCCACGACCCGGCAUCGGGUAGAGGGAAAAGGAGCAAUCCGCUUUGAGAUGGCCUCGCGUCCGAUUAGCUAGUUGGUGAGGUAACGGCCCACCAAGGCGACGAUCGGUAGCCGGACUGAGAGGUUGAACGGCCACAUUGGGACUGAGACACGGCCCAGACUCCUACGGGAGGCAGCAGUGGGGAAUAUUGCACAAUGGGGGAAACCCUGAUGCAGCGACGCCGCGUGGAGGAAGAAGGUCUUCGGAUUGUAAACUCCUGUUGUUGAGGAAGAUAAUGACGGUACUCAACAAGGAAGUGACGGCUAACUACGUGCCAGCAGCCGCGGUAAAACGUAGGUCACAAGCGUUGUCCGGAAUUACUGGGUGUAAAGGGAGCGCAGGCGGGAAGACAAGUUGGAAGUGAAAUCCAUGGGCUCAACCCAUGAACUGCUUUCAAAACUGUUUUUCUUGAGUAGUGCAGAGGUAGGCGGAAUUCCCGGUGUAGCGGUGGAAUGCGUAGAUAUCGGGAGGAACACCAGUGGCGAAGGCGGCCUACUGGGCACCAACUGACGCUGAGGCUCGAAAGUGUGGGUAGCAAACAGGAUUAGAUACCCUGGUAGUCCACACUGUAAACGAUGAUUACUAGGUGUUGGAGGAUUGACCCCUUCAGUGCCGCAGUUAACACAAUAAGUAAUCCACCUGGGGAGUA